GGGGGGGGGUGGGGGUGGGGGUGAGGGGGGGAGGUCGGACGGCAGCGCAGUGAGAGCUUGCUCUUACGGGUGGCGGGUGGCGGACGGGUGAGGAAUACAUCGGAAUCUACUUUUUCGUGGGGGAUAACGUAGGGAGACUUACGCUAAUACCGCAUACGACCUACGGGUGAAAGCAGGGGAUCUUCGGACCUUGCGCGAUUGAAUGAGCCGAUGUCGGAUUAGCUAGUUGGCGGGGUAAAGGCCCACCAAGGCGACGAUCCGUAGCUGGUCUGAGAGGAUGAUCAGCCACACUGGAACUGAGAGACGGUCCAGACUCCUACGGGAGGCAGCAGUGGGGAAUAUUGGACAAUGGGCGCAAGCCUGAUCCAGCCAUACCGCGUGGGUGAAGAAGGCCUUCGGGUUGUAAAGCCCUUUUGUUGGGAAAGAAAAGCAGCAGGUUAAUACCCCGCUGUUCUGACGGUACCCAAAGAAUAAGCACCGGCUAACUUCGUG
This 492-nucleotide ribosomal RNA is filed under the name uncultured bacterium. RNAcentral's name for it is "partial 16S ribosomal RNA". It matches the Rfam family "Bacterial small subunit ribosomal RNA", at positions 37 to 507 of the family's 1533-position model. The record is from RNAcentral.